Molecule: ribosomal RNA, 245 nt
Filed under: uncultured bacterium
Lineage: Bacteria
Description: partial small subunit ribosomal RNA
Rfam family: Bacterial small subunit ribosomal RNA
Source: RNAcentral
AGAAUCAACGCUGGCGGCGUGCCUAACACAUGCAAGUCGCACGAGAAAGGGUAGCAAUACCUGAGUACAGUGGCGCACGGGUGAGUAACACGUGAAUAAUCUACCUCCGAGUGGGGAAUAACUGAGAGAAAUCUUAGCUAAUACCGCAUAACACUUACGAGUCAAAGCAGCAAUGCGCUGAAUGAGGGGGUCGCGGUCGAUUAGUUAGUUGGCAGGGUAAUGGCCUACCAAGACUGUGAUCGAUA